AAGAUUUUACUUCAUAAAAGUAAAUUUAUGGUAGAACAAAAUUCGACAUUCAAAUACCAUUUUUCACGUCUUUCUCUGGAAAUUUUACAAAAACGACAGCUAUGCUGUGCGAAGAAAAUCUAUAAAAAAAAUAUACCUCUCUUUGUAUUAAAUUUAUAAAAUUGCGCGAUGCCCGUACGUAAUUGCUGCGUAGGAUGCCAGGGGCCCAUGCCGGGGCCGUGCUGCGGGGGCCCCUGUGCCUCUCGCAUGGACUGCGGCACUGGACCAUGUUGUGUCCACUCUGUUGGAGCUUGCUGCUCUCCCUACUCUGGAGGAAUUGGCUGUUUGCAUGGUGCCCGUUGCGGUAUGGCGGGUUCGUACUACAGCUGCGGGCACGGGUGCAUAGGCGGGUGCACUAGCGGCCUCUGCGCGUCCUGUUGCGGCCCAUGCUGCGGCUGAUCCGGUCCUGGAAUUUAACAUUUCGUUACGUCCAUAUUUAAUAAAGUGUUGCGUUAA
Molecule: long non-coding RNA, 495 nt
Organism: Helicoverpa armigera (cotton bollworm)
Lineage: Eukaryota; Metazoa; Arthropoda; Insecta; Lepidoptera; Noctuidae
Exons: 3
Source: RefSeq, a predicted model, not a curated record